RNAcentral lists this ribosomal RNA (253 nucleotides) under uncultured bacterium. Its description in RNAcentral is "partial 16S ribosomal RNA". It matches the Rfam family "Bacterial small subunit ribosomal RNA", at positions 524 to 776 of the family's 1533-position model. The record is from RNAcentral.
UACAGAGGUACCAAGCGUUGUUCGGAUUCACUGGGCGUAAAGGGUGCGUAGGUGGUUUGGUAAGUCUGAUGUGAAAUCUUCGAGCUCAACUCGGAAACUGCAUUGGAUACUAUCGAGCUAGAGGAUUGGAGGGGGGACUGGAAUUCUUGGUGUAGCAGUGAAAUGCGUAGAUAUCAAGAGGAACACCAGUGGCGAAGGCGAGUCCCUGGACAACUCCUGACACUGAGGCACGAAAGCUAGGGGAGCAAACAGG